This is a non-coding RNA of Oryzias latipes (Japanese medaka), 4706 nucleotides long. Lineage: Eukaryota; Metazoa; Chordata; Actinopteri; Beloniformes; Adrianichthyidae. The record is from RefSeq and is a predicted model, not a curated record.
GUGUGUGCUAAACUCAGGGAUGUUUUUCAUUUAUUUGUUUUAACUUCCUACCUGUCCCAUUUAUUUCAAAAGUAACAGUAUUUAAAUAUUCACAUAUUUUUUUUAUCUGACAUGUUGUAGAAAACUAAUGUUUUUUUUUUCUAGUGUUGUAGUCACAACUGCUCUUAAAGGUGGAUAGGGCUGUCUACGGGCAAAAAAUUAGCAAAUCUGUACGGGACAUGCUGGUGGCUCGCAGGAAAUAUCAAGGUCGCAGAUGCUCUGUGAACCGGUAGAGUGAAAAUGUUCAUGCACAAUUUUUCUACAGUCUUGCUUGAGGAGACAGGUCCUAGUGAAAACUUACACAACAAGUAAAUGUAAGUAAGGGGAAGCAGGUGAGAUGCAGGCACGUUGUAGGUUUUUUAUUUUUAGACUACCCCAAAUCCUGCGCAUUGCGCAGGGAGCCCAUUGGUGCUGUUCAGUUGAUAAGUGCAUGCCCCUCUGUUUGCAGCCUAACUAUUAGAAAUGAGGGAAUUGGACAAUCUGAGCAAUUUUGGAACAUUGUGUGGGCCUUCUAUGGCUGGGCUGCUAUGGGCCGCACGAAAUCUCAACAGUCACUCCUACAUCGCUUCUAGGUCGCUUAUGUAUCACCUGAAAACCCCAGGCAAUCAGCAUGUGCCCGCAGUCAGUAAGGAGCUUGUCUGCGCAUCUUACUAACGACUAAAGUAUGGCAUAAGAGGAGUCACGUGAUGAGGUGCCAGGAAAUGGCUGCAUAGUAGAUGAGCUCCGUACCCCGUCUUAGUUUUUUACGUCAAAUUAUGAAACUCUUCCCGUCUGCAUAAUUUAAAAACAGCAAAACUUGUUAAGAUACAAAAUUUUUUUUUUCUCCCAGCCGAAACAUGAGUCAGAAAAAACGAAGUAUACAAACGCGCCUCCCGACUGUCUCUACUGGCGAAGCUAGCCCUGCUAAUCAACAUGAGGGCCAGAGGACCGAAAUAAGCGACCUGCUUGCAGGAAAUUACUAAAGUGGGAGCUACACUGAAUACGGUGGCAAGUGAUGUUUCCCUAACUAAGUCUGACACGACAGAGUUAAAUAACACCGUAAGUGCAAUCCAACUAUGGCUAACUGGAGCCGAGAACCGCAUCUCGGACAUGGAGGACCAAGUUGCUAACGUGGCUAAAGACAAGAAGCUGCUAGCUAAGAAGCUUGAGCUACUUUGGGCUCGUGCUGAUGAUCAAGAAAACAGACAUCGUCAGAAAAAUAUAAGAUUGGUGGGGCCGAAAGAAGGAAUGGAAGGAAACAGCGCUCUAUGUGAUUACAUUAAAAAGUUACUCUCCGACGGCCUUGGGCUGGAUGGAUUGUAAUACGAGAUUGAAAGCUGCUACAGAAGCCCGGGACCAUGUCCAGGACCUAAUCAACCUCCGCGCAUCAUACUGGUGAGAUUUUUGCGAUAUGCAGCUUGGCAGAAAAGUCCUCAUGGCUGCCAAGAAGAAAAGAAGCAUAUUGUGGGAAACUGUAAGCUGUCAUUUUUUGAAGACUUGACCAAGGAGCAUGUCGCUCAGCGGAAGCUGUUUUCGCCAGUGAUGAAGCUGUUGUGGCAACGCCAGGUGAAACACACACACUGGCACAUCCAGCAAUCCUCAGAUUUACGUGAAAGCAGGAGCGCAUGAGCUUCACAGACGCGAAGGAAGCUGAAAACUUUGUUAAAGAAAACAUGGCCGUGGAGAAGGAGUAAUACAAGCAGAGGGGAGAGAGGAAGAUUUUUACACAUGACGGGGGAGGAGAGCAUCGAGGCGUUGCUAGAUCCAGAAGACAGGUGGAGGACAGGUAGAGUCUUCGAAACCCACACGGACCAAAAUAAAGUCUACACUUGGUUGGGGAGUUAUUACACUGCCAUGUUCUGUUUUAGUGCAGUGUUUAAGUUUUUGUGUUUUUGUUAAUUAUGGGAAAAUUUCAAACAGUGAGGAAUUUGUUUAUGUUGCAUGUGUAUUUGUUCUAAGAUGUCAUUGGAUACUAGAUCACCUUAAACGAGAAGCAGAAGCUAAUUUUAAAAUUCUAUUACAAUGGGUAAUGUGGAUAUGAACCUGGUGUCUUGGAAUAUAAAUGGCUGCAGCACGCCGAUUAAAAGGAAAAAAGUUCUCGGGUACCUCAAAUCCCAUGAUACUGAUGUUGCAUUUAUCCAAGAAACGCAUUUUGGAAAUGAUAAGGAAGCCUUAAAAAUGAGAAGAGACUGGGUUGGCAAAGUGUUUCACAACUCAGUAUCGAGUAAAAGCCGUGGUGUGAUGACACUUCUCAACAAAAAACUUAACUUUGUAUUUCUAAAGCAGCUUCAGGAUGAUGAUGGACGACUGCUAUGCAUUCAGGCCCUUAUUAAUGAGAUUAAGGUUGUUUUGGUGAAUGUGUAUGACUUUAUUUACAAGAUUAAUAAGAUGCUGAGUAAUUUAGAAGGACAGAUAUUGAUAGGUGGGGACUUUAACCAGGUGCCUGAUGAUUUUCUAGAUAAAAGUACUAACAAUGUUAAGUCAAACACCAGAAAAGGGUUGGCAUUAAAUUCUCUCAAACAGGAAAUUGGGUUGGUAGAUAUGUGGAGACUUGUACACCCCUCGGAAAGGGAAUAUACAUUCUACUUACACUCCCACAAAUCUUAUUCUCGAAUUGAUUAUUUUCUUAUCUCAAACUCAAGCACUGAACUAGUUACUAAUUGUGAAAUAGGUGUUAUUGCCCUCACUGAUCAUGCACCAGUGGAACUACACAUUCAUUUACAAAUGGGUAAAACUAAGCGUGGUAGAUGGAGAUUAAACUUGGGUAUCCUGCGGGAUGAACAGUUUGUAGAAUCAUUAAAAGAGAAAAUCAAAUGUUUCUUAGAUAUAAAUAUUGGGUCAACUGACAGGCUGGCCACAGUAUGGGAUGCUCUUAAGGUAUUCAUGAAAAAAACAGGAAAAUGUCUGGGCUAUAGCUCUAAAAAAGCAAGAGAGAGCAGGGAGAAAAUAAAAAUACUGGAGAAUCAAUUAAAGGAAUGGGAAAAACGGCUAGCACAAAACUAUAAUGAAAGUAAAUUUAAAGAAAUUUGUAAACUGAAGUUUAACCUCCAUGAAACAUAUAACAAAAAGGGUGAAUAUGCACUUUUUCGGCUCAAAACAAACUUCUAUGAGAAGGGUGAAAAGACGAUAAAACUACUGGCCAGACAACUCAAACAGCUGGACAAUCAAAAUUUCAUCACAGCAAUAAACAAGAAUGAUAGACUGGUGACAUCAUCUGGUGAAAUUAACACCGUCUUUAAACAGUUCUACCAAAAAUUGUAUACAUCGGAAACUGUUGUUAGCACAGAACAGUUAGAUGCUUUUUACAAUAAGGUGAUGAUACCACAGAUUUCACAAGAGGGAAAGGAUGCAAUGGACUUUACUUUAACGGAAGCUGAGGUCAGGAAAGCAAUUAGUAAGAUGAAAACUGGAAAAUAACCUGGAAUAGAUGGCUUUCCAGUUGAAUACUACCAAAUAUUUGCAGACGUAUUGUGCCCGUUCUUAACUAAAGUACUUCAAGAAGCCUAUGAUUUUGGGACACUCCCUGAAAGUUUUAACCAGGCAAUAAUAUCAUUAAUACCAAAAGGUGACAAAGACUUAAGGGACCCAGCCAAUUACAGACCCAUAAGUUUAAUAAAUGUGGAUUGCAAAUUACUAUCAAAAAUAUUAGCAAUGAGGCUAGAGAAGGAGCUGCCAAAGAUUAUUCAUAAAGAUCAAGUUGGUUUUGUCAAAAAUAGAUUGUCAGCUGAUAACAUGAAUCACGCUUUUCCAUUUGGUAAUCUGACGGACGAGUCUGGGUUUGGAGGUUGCCAGGAGAACAGUACAUUUCGGACUGCGUGUGUGAAAUUUGGUGAAGGAGGAAUUAUGGUGUGGGGUUGUUUUUUAGGACUUGGGCCUGACCCCUUAGUUCCGGUGAAAGGAACAUUAAAAUUUUCAUGAGACCAAAACAUUUUGGACAAUUCCAUGCUCCCAACCUCGUGGGAACAGUUUGGAGCGGCCCCUUCCUCUUUCAGCACGACUGUGCACCAGUCCACAAAGCAAGGUCCAUAAAGACAUGGAUGACAAAGUCUGGUGUGGAUAAACUUGACUGUUCUGCACAGAGUCCUGACCUGAACCCGAUAGAACACCUUUUGGAUGAAUUAGACCAGAGACUGAGAGCCAGGCCUUCUCAACAAACGUCAGUUUUUGACCUCACCAAUGCAGUUUAGGAAGGUUCAUAUUGAACUCAUAUGGGUUUGGAAUGGGAUGGCACUUUAGAUUAUGUGAGUCAAGGCAGGUGAGCAAAUACUUUUUGUAAAAUAGUUUAUGUGCAUCUUAUACGCAAUAUAAAAAUUAUACAUCUGUGGUACAUGUGUGAAAAGUCCAUUAGACAGACUUGGUACAUUCUUGGAGAGCCACAAAUUACGUGCAAUUGCCUAAGAUUUACGUGAUAAUUGUGUAUAAACUACGUUAAAAACCCAUAAACUGGAUAUUUCUUAACUGACCCAAAAUUUUGAACAGGUCAAAACCGAUUUCAUGUGAACCGUUGGCCGAAACCCUCGACGGACAUCUGCGCACAUCAAAGAAAGAAACACAAGAAAGACCCUCUGAACUACCCAGAAUACUUUUGUGGCUAUUGUUGAUCUACCUGAAGGGGAACACCAGUACAAGUUUUACGUGGAUGGACAGUGGACUCAUGACCCCACUGAGCCUGUCAUAACCAGCCAGUU